This 197-nucleotide unclassified non-coding RNA is filed under the name uncultured fungus. Its description in RNAcentral is "partial contains 18S rRNA, ITS1, 5.8S rRNA". The record is from RNAcentral. Lineage: Eukaryota; Fungi.
CGGAGGGAUCAUUACACAAUAUGAAAGCGGGCUGGACUCCCCCCAGCAGUGCGUUGCUUUGCGGCGUGCGCUGUUGGGGCCAGCCUUGCUGAAUUAUUCACCCGUGUCUUUUGCGUACUUCUUGUUUCCUUGGUGGGUUCGCCCACCACAAGGACAAACCAUAAACCUUUUGUAAUUGCAAUCAGCGUCAGUAACAA